UCUCAAGUCUCCAGAGCCAUUGGGAUUACAGGCAUGUGCCACUAUGCCCAGAUUUCACCUCUCUUUUUACAUUAUAAAUUCUAUGAGGGUUGGAAACAUAUCUAUAAUAUUUAUAGAUGUAUCUCCAAUGCCUAGAACUGCAGUGUUCGAUAUGAUAGCCACAUAUGAUUACUGAGCAUUUGAAAUGUGGAAGUUUGAAGUGAGAUGUACUCUAAACAUAAAAUGCAUACUGAAUUCAAAAGACUUAUUAUGAAAACAAAGUUUACAAAGUAUCUCAAUAGGUUUUUUUUUUCUACUGAGUAUAUAUUGCUAUGGUUUGAAUAUCCUCUUCAAAACACAUGUUGAGGUUUUAUAUCCAAUAUAGUGAUAUUGAGAGGUAGGGCCUUUAAGAGGUGAUUAGGUCAUGAGGGCUCUGUUUUUGUGAAUGGAUUAAUGCCAUUGUUGUUGGAGAUGGUUAAUUAUCAGGGGAGUGGGCUCCUGAUCAAAGGAUAAGUUCUAUCCAAUACCUUUUCUCUGUGUCCCAAAUUUCUGUUUGCCCUAUUAUAACAGCACAAAGGCUCUUGCCAGAUGCUGGUGCCAUCAUGCUACAGUUUGGACCCGCAGGGUGGUGUAUUGGGAGGUAGUAGAACUUUUAAGAGGUGGACCUGAUAGGACAUUGGGGUAGUGUACUUGAAGGGGAUUCUGGGACCCUGACUCAUUAUUCUCUCUUUCUUUUGCUUCCUGGCCAUAAGGUUAGUGUUUUUUCUUCUUGAUGUGCUCCUGUCAUGUUGUACUGCCUCACGGUAGGCCCAAAAGUAAUGGGGCCAAUUGAUCAUGGAUUGGAAUCUCCAAAACUGUGAGCUAAAACAAAUCUUUUCUCUUUAUAAGUUAAUUAUCUGAGAUACUUUGUUAGUGAUGGAAAGUUGACUAACACACAUACUCUUGAACUUCAUUAUCUCCCAAACCAUGAGUAGAAUAAAGUUCUAUUUUUGUAAUUUACCCAGGAUUCUACUACAGUAGAAAAAACAAACAAACAAAAAACAAAAAAAACCCCCCAAAACAACCAAUCAACCAACCAAACACACAAACAAAUAAAAACCAGACUAAGACAUGGUACAAUGACAAUAUGUUGGAUUGUUUGGUCAAUAUAUCAUUAAAAUUAUCUUUCCCUUGCUUUGAAUGUUGUUGUUUGAAAAUUUUAAAUUACAUAUUUGACUCACAUUUUGUUUCUAUUGGACAGUGCUAGUCUAGAACAAUGCAUUGCAUAAUCAAAUGUAUUUCCAUGAAUGAGGGAGUAAAGAAAAAAGAUAGUCAUACAAAUUGAUGUCAUUAUACUGGGAACUCUGGUGAAUUCAUAUUUUAAGGAUAGUUAGGACAAUAGAAGGAAGAGUAUCUAAUAAAAGAUAGACUUAAAAGGACAAUUUUGGGAAUAUUAAGCAUCAAGAUAAACUUUAGACUCCAGAAACACUGAUGACUCAAAAAAUCCUCCUUUUUGUAUGUUCAGAGCAAGAAAAAAAAGAAGAGGAUAUCCCUACUUUUUGGAAUAGAAUGGACAUCUUUGUGGCAGUUUCAGUGCUUGCUUACUGUAUUUCUAUAGGAUGGUGAUUGUGCUGGAGCCCAGCCCAGGAAGAUGGCACCUUCAGCAAUGCUGCAUCCCUCUUGUGGCUGCUGGUCCCACUGAGGUUCCCAAGAGGCUCUUAGCAGUGUCAAAAUCCUACCCGAAGGAGCCACAGAAUGUCAAGUUCAUAUAACUAUCAUUCUGACUUUGAGGUGGGAAUGUAUCGGGAGAGUAGAACCCUGGGUCUCUGAUAACUAUGAAGCCACAUGCUAGGCUUGGACCACCAAAUUCUGGCUGUGUUAUGCAUGACAGUGAGAUAAAACAUCUUAUUCUUUAAAAUAAAGAACUUCUGUUCCUUAAAUGCACCAUAGAAUGAAAAAAAAGAGAGAGAGUAAGACUAUAUUUGCAAACAUGUAUCUGACAUAAGUUUAGAAUCCAUAAUGUAUAACAUUUAUCAAUUGGUAACAAAAAGAUGACUUAAUAAAAAAUGGGCAUA
Non-coding RNA from Ictidomys tridecemlineatus (thirteen-lined ground squirrel), 2033 nucleotides. NCBI's taxonomy places the organism in Eukaryota, Metazoa, Chordata, Mammalia, Rodentia, Sciuridae. The record is from RefSeq and is a predicted model, not a curated record.